CAGCAGCCGCGGUAAUACGUAGGGUGCGAGCGUUAAUCGGAAUUACUGGGCGUAAAGCGUGCGCAGGCGGUUCGUUAAGACAGAUGUGAAAUCCCCGGGCUUAACCUGGGAACUGCAGUCGAUACUGGCAGACUAGAGAACGGUAGAGGGAGGCGGAACUCCAGGUGUAGCGGUGAAAUGCGUAGAUAUCUGGAAGAACACCGAUGGCGAAGGCAACCUCCUGGGCCUGUUCUGACGCUGAGGCACGAAAGCGUGGGUAGCAAACAGGAUUAGAUACCCGAGUAGUCCCUGUCUCUUAUAC
RNAcentral lists this ribosomal RNA (301 nucleotides) under uncultured bacterium. Its description in RNAcentral is "partial 16S ribosomal RNA". It matches the Rfam family "Bacterial small subunit ribosomal RNA", at positions 509 to 807 of the family's 1533-position model. The record is from RNAcentral.